UACGAAGGGGGCUAGCGUUGUUCGGAUUUACUGGGCGUAAAGCGCGCGUAGGCGGACCUGCAAGUCGGGGGUGAAAGCCCGAGGCUCAACCUCGGAACUGCCUUCGAUACUGCGGGUCUCGAGUCCGGGAGAGGUGAGUGGAAUUCCUAGUGUAGAGGUGAAAUUCGUAGAUAUUAGCUAGAACACCAGUGGCGAAGGCGGCCAACUGGGCCGGUACUGACGCUGAGAUGCGAAAGCGUGGGGAGCAAACAGG
RNAcentral lists this ribosomal RNA (253 nucleotides) under uncultured bacterium. RNAcentral's name for it is "partial 16S ribosomal RNA". It matches the Rfam family "Bacterial small subunit ribosomal RNA", at positions 524 to 776 of the family's 1533-position model. The record is from RNAcentral.